This 1923-nucleotide long non-coding RNA is filed under the name Piliocolobus tephrosceles (Ugandan red Colobus). Its description in RNAcentral is "lncRNA (ENSPTEG00000005132.1)". Lineage: Eukaryota; Metazoa; Chordata; Mammalia; Primates; Cercopithecidae. The record is from RNAcentral.
AUGGGAGGAGAUGGUAUAAUUAUGGAUAAAAUGAAAGUUGGUAGUAAUUUAUUAAACGAUAAAAAAAAAUAUGGUGGUAAUAAUGCGUUUGAUGAUUUUAAAAAAAAUGAUGGUUUAUCCAAAAAACGCUUUGAUCAAUCUAAUGAUGCAUCAAAUAUGUCAAAUCAUAAUAAUAAUAUGUCUAACGAAAAUAAUGAAACAAAUAAUGGAUAUAUAAUGCCAGGAUUUAAAGGAACACACAUGAUUGGUUUUACAUGUUUUUUAAAAAGAGGUCAACAAACACCACCUCCACCCCCACCUACUAUACCUGUAGAUGAUAUAAAUUACUUUCAAAAUAUAGAUAAUAAAGUUGGAAUGCAAAAGAAGCAUAUGAAAAUGAAUGCCCAAUUUAAUCAGCAAUUAGAUGCUCAAAGGAACAUGGUACCAAACAUGGUACAAAACAUGAUGCCUAAUAUGGUACCGAGCAUGGUACCUAAUAUGGUACCUAAUAUGGUACCUAAUAUGGUACCUAACAUGGUACCUAAUAUGACACAGAACAUGACACAGAACAUGACACAGAACAUGGUACCUAAUAUGGUUCCUAAUAUGGUUCCUAAUAUGGCACAAAAUAUGACGCAAAAUAUGGCGCAGAAUAUGGCUCAGAAUAUGAUACCUAAUAUGACACAGAAUAAUAUGCAGGGGAAAAUGCAGGGAAAAAUGCAAAAUAGGAUGCAUCAAAGUAUGAACAUGAACAUGAACAUGAACACAAAUAUGAACAUGAACACAAAUAUGAACAUGAACACAAAUAUAAACAUGAACACGAAUAUGAAUAUGAAUAUGAACAUGAACCCAGGUCAACAACUACCACAAAGAAACAACAUGAUAAACCAAGUGAAUACUGAAGAAAGCGUGUAUGAAAAGAAUGAACAAAAUAACAACAGAUUUAUAUCAAUGAUGCACCACCCUAUGCAAAAAAUAACAGAAGAUGGAAAUAACAGCUACAAAAUGAACAACUACACAAGAAAUUUGAAAGGAUUUGGUACUAAUAAUAGUGAAAAUGUAAUGUCAAACAAUAAAGUAAUAAACAAUCAAGGGAUGGGAGGAAUACAAAAUAUGCAAGGGAAUCAUGCAAACUACAUGAAAAGGAAUGAUAAAAAAGACGAUCGAAAUUAUAAAAAAAAAGAUCCAGGUAUAGAACUGAACUGGAGAAAUUUAAAUAAUAAAAAUGUUUUUGAAGAUAAAAUGAAUAACAACAUGAUAAACAAUACAUUUAAUAUGAACAACACAAAAACUAAUAAUAUAACUAAUAAUAAUAAUGCUAAUUAUAAUAAUAACAUUAAUUAUAAUAAUGUUACAACUACAACUACUAACAUUAAUAAUAAUAGUAGUGGAACUAAAUCUGUUAGGAAUUUUAAUAAUACAAAUAACAAUUUAAAUAAUGCGAAAAAUAAUUAUGUUAAUAAUAAAAUGAUGCAUAUGAACUAUCAGAAUGUAAGGCAGGUCUUAAAUAAUAACAACAGUAGCAAUAACAUUGGUAACAACAGUAAUAAUAAUAACGCUAAUAGCAAUGAUGAUAAUAAUAACAUUAACAACGACAACAAUAAUAAUAAUAAUGAAGACCAGAAUAAUAAAAUUUAUAAAUCUAAUAUGAAUAACAACAAAUAUGAUGAAAAUGCAAACAAAAUGUAUAAAAAUCAAAUGACUAUUUUUAAUAAUAUGGGGAUGAUGCAAGAAAACAAUUCAAACAGACCAGCGCAUUAUGCAAAUGAACAGAUGAACUUUAAUAAUAAUGAUAUGAAUAACAAUAAUAAUAAUCAAAUGCAUGAUUAUAAUAAAGCUUCAUAUGGUAAUAAUUUUAACAUGAACAACAAAAAUAUGAAUUCAUUAGACACGAGAAAAACACGAAUGAGAGACAUAAGAAGUGUAAAUGAACAAAAUGAAUAA